GAGGGAACCGCCCGAGGCUGCGACCCAGCACAGGGCCCGGGGGCUGCCCCGCGAGGAAGCCCAGGGCCAGCAUCCUGAGCCCCACCUGCAGGCCCUGGGCGCUUUCCUCCUGGCAGCUGUGCCCCCACCCGACCGGACCGCUCCCUGCAACCAGAGAGCCCUCACACCAGCAACACCCCCCAGCCUGCUCCCUCCUCGUGUGCGCGAAACUCAUGGCACUGGCUUGACGGCUUUCUCUGAAACCCUCUGAUUCCGCCUGGCCCAUCCACACUGUCCCUUCCCGGCCAGGGCUCAUCUCCUAUGCCUGGACCAAACAGCGUAGUCUCCAGUCUCCCUGAUCUCCCCACACGUGGCCCCACCCAUCCUCUGAAGCAGCCCCAGGAGGCAGCAGUGACUUCACACUUCUAGUGCCCGGCCCUCCCGGCCCUCCUCUCUGGGCUUGCUUGCCAGGGUCCUCCCAACCUGACUGCUGCCUCCCACCUCCUCUCCGCCCCUGGAGCUCUCCAGCCGCAGCCGCGGGGCCUGCUUGGGAUUCUCCUCUGCUGGCAUCAUCCCUGCCUGCCUCAGCCUUCCCAGGCCCAAUCCUGCCCGAUCUCACCUCUUCCCGCCCAGCCACCUGGUCGGGUCCCGACCAGCAUCUGCCUUCAAACCUGGAGUCCUUCCCUGAGUGCUUGCGGUGCACUGUGAGGAAGGAAAUCAAUGUAAAGGAUUAUGACCCACAUUUUUUAAAAAUAAAAAGAUUAAGGAGAACAGCA
RNAcentral lists this long non-coding RNA (755 nucleotides) under Homo sapiens (human). RNAcentral's name for it is "non-protein coding lnc-SLC19A1-7:9". The record is from RNAcentral. Lineage: Eukaryota; Metazoa; Chordata; Mammalia; Primates; Hominidae.